This 468-nucleotide ribosomal RNA is filed under the name uncultured bacterium. RNAcentral describes it as "partial 16S ribosomal RNA". It matches the Rfam family "Bacterial small subunit ribosomal RNA", at positions 28 to 507 of the family's 1533-position model. The record is from RNAcentral.
GACGAACGCUGGCGGCGUGCCUAACACAUGCAAGUCGAACGGAAAGGCCCGGCUCUUGCUGCGUUCUCGAGUGGCGAACGCGUGAGUAACACGCGAGUAUCCCGCCCCUGACUUUCUGAUAACUUCUGGAAACUCGGGCUAAUACCGGAUAGGAGCUCCUGCAGCAUGUGGGUGGUUGGAAAGAUUCGGCGGUGGGGGCUGGACUCGCGGCUUACGCGCUAGUUGGUGGGGUAGGUGAUGUCCAAGUCUUCGACGGGUAGCCGGCCUGAGAGGGGGACCGGGCACAUGGGGCCUGCGGGACGGACCAGACUGCUAUGUGAGGCAGCAGUCGGGAGUCUUGCGCAACGGGCGGGAGCCUGAUGCAGCAGCGCCGCGUGCGGGAUGCCGGCCUUCGGGUUGUAAACCGCUUUCGCCUGUAACGAGGCGUGAGUGACGGUACUGGGUAAAGAAGCACCGGCUAACUACGUG